GCACUCUGGUGACCAGCGGAGGGCGGAGACUCCGGAGUGGGAACUGAAGAAGGCUGUCUGAGGUUCCCUAACACAGUGAUGGCAUUUAGUCCCUGGCAGGCCUCUUGGGUGCUGAGAUUAUGGACACCAAUCACUGCCCAACUUGCAGAUUGACAGACAAGAACGACCAAUUUAGCGUCUAAUUUACUAGAACAGAAACCGUGUCGCCUCCAGAAAACAAAGCAGAAGAAACACCUGCAUGAUCUUCUUGUGACCUUCUCUCCCUGGAAAUCUUUUUUAAAAUAAAAUCCUACAGCCAAUCUGUUUUAACCUGUUCCCUUUCCACAAGGUACAGAAUCUCUCAGGGAUCAGCUGAGACCUAAGCAGAAACAGAUCAUCUGAAUAAAGACUGAGGCUGUGGAGGAAAGAGAGUAUAAAGGGGGGGGGGGCUGGAGAGAUGGCUCAGAGGUUAAGAGCAUUGCCUGCUCUUCCAAAGGUUCUGAGUUCAAUUCCCAGCAACCACAUGGUGACUCACAACCAUCUGUAAUGAGGUCUGGUGCCCUCUUCUGGCUUGCACCACAGACAGAAUAUUGUAUACAUAAUAAAUAAAUAAAUAUUAAAAAAAGAGAGAGUAUAAAGGCAGUCCAAUGCAGUCCUGAACCAUACCAUAAAACUAAGCAUCCAUCUGUUCUCAAACACAGCCUUCAGCCACUCUCUUUAGACUGCGCACAAGCCCUCUGACUGUGCCAGGCUCCUUCUCUGACCUUUCUUGUAAAGGAGUCAGUAAUGGCAGGAGGGAACCUCAGAACCCAGCUAAACACUAUUCCUAUCAGCAUAUCAGAAAUUAGACCAUUCAAAAUUUGUGUGUGUGUUGGAGCAAGUUACAUGCCUAUUUUGAUUACACCGUGCACUCCCUAUUACUGUAACUCUCUAGUGACAGUACCACCAAGCCCUUCUUCCUAACCUAGCCUCCUUUCAACUUCCAUAGACUUUGGAGUAGUUUACAGUAACAUGGGCAGCUUACCAUCAGCUCCACCACUGAAGAAAGCUUCGCGCCCUCAUCAGCUGUUAUCUGCAUAGAAAUCCUUAGAGGAGCUUUUGUUUGUUUUAUUUUCUUGAGACAGAGCCUCACUCUGGAGCCCAGGCUAGCUUCACACCUACAGCAAUCCUGCUGUCUCAGUCUCAUAAAAUUCUUUUUAAAAAUAUUAUUUUUAA
This is a long non-coding RNA of Alexandromys fortis (reed vole), 1194 nucleotides long. RefSeq lists it as uncharacterized. The transcript is spliced from 3 exons. The record is from RefSeq and is a predicted model, not a curated record. NCBI's taxonomy places the organism in Eukaryota, Metazoa, Chordata, Mammalia, Rodentia, Cricetidae.